UACGUAGGGGGCGAGCGUUGUCCGGAAUUAUUGGGCGUAAAGAGCGUGUAGGCGGUUCGGUAAGUCUGCCGUGAAAACCCAGGGCUCAACCCUGGGCGUGCGGUGGAUACUGCCGGGCUAGAUGGUGGUAGAGGCGAGUGGAAUUCCCGGUGUAGCGGUGAAAUGCGCAGAUAUCGGGAGGAACACCAGUAGCGAAGGCGGCUCGCUGGGCCACACCUGACGCUGAGACGCGAAAGCGUGGGGAGCAAACAGG
Molecule: ribosomal RNA, 253 nt
Filed under: uncultured bacterium
Lineage: Bacteria
Description: partial 16S ribosomal RNA
Rfam family: Bacterial small subunit ribosomal RNA
Source: RNAcentral